UUAAGUUCAGCGGGUAGUCUUGCCUGAUUUGAGGCCAAAUAGAUAGAUAGAUUGUGGCAAGUGGAGCCUAGGCCCAAGAAUGCUUAGCACUCGGGCUAGUCUCACAGACCAUUCUCUGGCUACAUUUAGACCCAGUCCACCCACCAGCUAGUAGUAGUAGUGCGCAGACACGGAUCAAGUCGCAUUGCUGCAUAGAGUAU
Molecule: unclassified non-coding RNA, 200 nt
Filed under: Ascomycota sp.
Lineage: Eukaryota; Fungi; Ascomycota
Description: partial internal transcribed spacer 2
Source: RNAcentral